Molecule: unclassified non-coding RNA, 396 nt
Filed under: soil metagenome
Description: partial contains 5.8S ribosomal RNA, internal transcribed spacer 2, and large subunit ribosomal RNA
Rfam family: 5.8S ribosomal RNA (bases 1-122)
Source: RNAcentral
GAUGAAGAACGUAGCGAAAUGCGAUACUUGGUGUGAAUUGCAGAAUCCCGUGAACCAUCGAGUCUUUGAACGCAAGUUGCGCCCGAAGCCAUUAGGCCGAGGGCACGCCUGCCUGGGUGUCACACACCGUUACCCUCGCGCCAACGUCCAUCGUUGGCCGCGGCGCGGGGCGUGCGCUGACCUCCCGCGAGCGGGGUCUCGUGGUUGGUUGAAAAUCGAGUUCGCGGUCGAGGGUGCCGUGAUGAAAUGGUGGAUGGGCGACGCCCGAGGCCAAUCACGCGCGACUCUGUCCGGCUCNNACUCCUGGACCCCUUCGGCGUCUCCGGACGCUCUUUGGCGAGACCUCAGGUCAGGCGGGGCUACCCGCUGAGUUUAAGCAUAUCAAUAAGCGGAGGA